RNAcentral lists this ribosomal RNA (194 nucleotides) under uncultured Pseudomonadota bacterium. Its description in RNAcentral is "uncultured proteobacterium partial 16S ribosomal RNA". It matches the Rfam family "Bacterial small subunit ribosomal RNA", at positions 335 to 524 of the family's 1533-position model. Lineage: Bacteria; Pseudomonadati; Pseudomonadota. The record is from RNAcentral.
ACUCCUACGGGAGGCAGCAGUCGGGAAUUUUGGGCAAUGGGCGAAAGCCUGACCCAGCAACGCCGCGUGAAGGAUGAAAUCCCUCGGGAUGUAAACUUCGCAAGAAUGGGAAGAAUUAGUAGGGGUUAAUACCCUCUAUGAUGACGGUACCAUUUGUAAGCUCCGGCUAACUCCGUGCCAGCAGCCGCGGUAAU